Molecule: non-coding RNA, 1516 nt
Organism: Arachis ipaensis
Lineage: Eukaryota; Viridiplantae; Streptophyta; Magnoliopsida; Fabales; Fabaceae
Source: RefSeq, a predicted model, not a curated record
GUGUCUCGAGCUUCAUUCAUACUUCACACACGUUCAUUCACACUUCACACACGAGCUUCUUCCUCACGAGCUGCGUGCUUCUUCUCUGGUCGCACGAGCUUCUUCCGCCGUUGCCACCGUUCGCAUCGCACAAUCUCUCUGUCAUCUCUUGCGUCACACGAGCUCCUUCCGCCACUGUUCUCGUCGCGUCUGCUCCCUUGGUCGCCAUUGUUGCAGAGCUCCAUCCGCUUCUCUCAUCGCAUCUGCUCCCUUCAUCGCCGUCGUCAUAGAGCUCUCUCCACCGCCGCUCUUGUUGCGUUUGCUCCCUUAGUCAAUUUCAGGUAUAAUCUGAUUUUGUGAUUUUGGUGCUUAGAGCUCAAUUUUUCUGUGCCAAUUUUAGGUUUAUCAAUUUUUCUUAGCAGUUUCUAUCUUCUUGUUGCUGUUGAUGCUGAUUGAGCUUGUUGUAGGUUUAUCAAUUAGGUCAAAAUCGAAGUGGCGACUAUUCAAGGAGUAGGGAUCUUGUGGAGAGGUGCCUAAUAGUUGUGCUUCUGCUCUUAUGGAGGAGGCUAGAGGUAUUUGGUCUGACUUUCUUGUUACUGUUCUCUAUGAAGAGUGGAGAAAGUGUAAAAGAGGUGAAUUUCAUAUAAUUUAUUGUGCUGCUUAAUUAUUGAGAGUUCAAGAGUUAAAUGACAGCCAUGGAGAUCUCCAUUAGUUUCAUCUUUAGAUUAUUAUACUACAUCAAUGGACUAGAUGCAGUCAUAACCAACAUUAUGAAAAUGCCAAAGGAGCUUAUUCAAAGUUCAAAAGUUAAUUUUGUUAUGCCUGCUAUCGAUGCUCUUGAUGGACACAAUCGUCUUGGAUUUCUUGUCUCAAGUAACUUAUAUUUUCUCAAAGAUCAUGAUGAAAUUGCCAGGGUACACUUUUUAAUAGCACUUGGUAAACCGGUAUCUUCCAACCCUCAGACUUCCCUCUUUUCUCAACCCCCAUUCCCAAAUCAAUUUGCUGCAUAAAAGAUGAAAGGGACAAUGGUUUGGUAUGAUUUUGACAGGUGAAAAAUGGGCAUGAUGGCUUCCUUGCAGUUUAGAGUGGAAUUGCCUACCUCAGAGGGAUUCUGCACAUCUUCCCUAACUGUAGUUUGAUAAGGAACCUUGUUGGCUAUCUCUCACUAUCUGGUAAAGAGUCGAACAGUUGCCAUCUGGCUACAAGGUGUUGUAAACUGGACCUUCUUGACAUUUCUGAUAAAGAAGGUUUAAAAUCAGCUUCUGAUAUUCAUGGUGCUGCAGUAGUUGCCUGCUAUGCCAAUGGAAACAGCAACCCAAAGUCUACUUUUCAAACUUGUACAAAUCAGUACUAAUUUACUAACAUUUUUGGUGUAUGCUGGCUUGUAAAUUAUUCUUAGGAAACUGUAUUUAGUUUUCAAAAAUUUGGAUAUGUUAAUAUCAAUGUUUAUACUCACUUUUGUUUCCUCUGUUUCUUUGUUUUGAAGAGCCGAGAAUUUUUUAUGUUUUAGUGUUUAUCUUGUUCUAUUUCAUUGAUA